RNAcentral lists this unclassified non-coding RNA (913 nucleotides) under Kudoa amamiensis. Its description in RNAcentral is "partial contains 18S rRNA, ITS1, 5.8S rRNA, ITS2 and 28S rRNA". The stretch from base 370 to 524 matches the Rfam family "5.8S ribosomal RNA". Lineage: Eukaryota; Metazoa; Cnidaria; Myxozoa; Multivalvulida; Kudoidae. The record is from RNAcentral.
GAAGGAAGUAAAAGUCGUAACAAGGUUUCCGUAGGUGAACCUGCGGAAGGAUCAUUAGAGAAAAAUAAAAUAAUUUUGAUAUAUUUUAUAAUAUAUCAAUAUAUAUUUUAUUGAUAAAAAAUUUUUUUCGAAUCAAGUGUCAUAUAGAGCCAACACAUGAAUGAUUCAUAAAAAAAAAUUUUUUUUGUUGACAAUAUGUCAAUUAUAUUAUUAACACACUUAUUGUGUGGUGUACCGGUUAUAUAUAAUAUAUAUAACCGGGCUAGCGUUUAUUCGCUAGAUGUCCUAAAAGUAUAUCAUAAUAAUUAUUAAUUAUUAUGAGAUUACUUUUGGAAUAUUUUGUGUGAUCAUAAAAAUAUAAAAUAAAACAACCGUUAGCGGUGGAUCACUCGGUUCGUGUAUCGAUGAAGAACGCGGCCAACUGCGAUAAUUGGUGCGAUUCGCAGCGCCUAGUGAGUCAUUGAAAUUUUGAAUGCAAAUGGCAUGUUAGAUUACAAGUCUAACGUAUGUCUGGUUGAGUGUUGUUAAUAAAUAUAUAUAUAUGCGUUUAUCUUAUAGAAAAAGAUAAAUAUAUUAUAUAUGAUUGGUUGUGUAAUUUCACGGUUACUCUACUAAAGUAUAAUAAUAAUAUUUUAUAAAUAUUAUUGUAUAUAUACCUCAUAAAUUUUUUUUUAUAUUAAUAUAUAUUGUUAUUAUAAUAAGGUAUAAACACGGCUUUGAAUAAAAGACGUUGUUUAUAAUAAAUUAUUAUAAAUAAUAAUUAUUAACAUAAUAAAAAUUUAAAGAGAAUGUAUAUAAAAAUUUGAUUAUAUAACCUCAACUCAGGCAAGAUUACCCGCUGAACUUAAGCAUAUCAGUAAGCGGAGGAAAAGAAAACAACUGUGAUUCCCUUAGUAACUGCGAGUGAAGCGGG